RNAcentral lists this long non-coding RNA (291 nucleotides) under Trifolium pratense (red clover). Its description in RNAcentral is "long non-coding RNA (TPRA_LNC002277)". The record is from RNAcentral. Lineage: Eukaryota; Viridiplantae; Streptophyta; Magnoliopsida; Fabales; Fabaceae.
UUGACUUCUUGCUUGCAUCAAAGCAGGUUAACCAUUCUCUAUGUGGUGUCAUAUGAUUUGAGCACCCUUAGUCAAGAAACCAUUCUUCAUUUUUCUCACUCUCUUCUGCUACAUUGGCUUCUUGUUGGGCCUUCUUGUACCAACACUCAUCAGCAAAGUGACCAUGUUUAUCACAGUUAUAGCAUUUCACCUUGCUUUUAUCAAAAUUCUUCUUCUUGUUUUUACCUUUAACCAAACCUCCUUCUUUAGAAGACUCAAAUUUGUCAUCAGUUUUUGAAUUUUGAUCUUUGG